UACGAGGGGGCGAGCGUUGUUCGGAAUUAUUGGGCGUAAAGGGUGCGUAGGCGGUUUGGUAAGUCUUGUGUGAAAUCUACAGGCUCAACUUGUAGUCUGCACGAGAAACUGCCGGGCUUGAGUGUGGGAGAGGUGAGUGGAAUUCCUGGUGUAGCGGUGAAAUGCGUAGAUAUCAGGAGGAACACCUGUGGCGAAAGCGGCUCACUGGACCAUAACUGACGCUGAUGCACGAAAGCUAGGGGAGCAAACAGG
Molecule: ribosomal RNA, 252 nt
Filed under: uncultured bacterium
Lineage: Bacteria
Description: partial 16S ribosomal RNA
Rfam family: Bacterial small subunit ribosomal RNA
Source: RNAcentral